RNAcentral lists this long non-coding RNA (1041 nucleotides) under Strigops habroptila (Kakapo). Its description in RNAcentral is "lncRNA (ENSSHBG00005005337.1)". The record is from RNAcentral. Lineage: Eukaryota; Metazoa; Chordata; Aves; Psittaciformes; Psittacidae.
GAUUAAUUGAGCUCCUAUGGAAAAACAAACCAACUGGUGUUUUGUUAAGCUCAGCUCCACCCGGGUGUCAUCCAACAGAGUCGGAGGCGCAAAUCCUACCCAAGAGGUGUUGGUGCUUUGGGGAGGAGAGAGGAGCAACCCAUGCACCUGUCCGCAGAGUGGGAUCAUGUGUCAGAGUGGGGAGAGAUGUUUUCUCCAUCCUGAUUUUCAUGGAGGUGGAUCUGCCCCAUCCUUGCCCCAGAGUGAUGGCACUGCCUACAUCUUCCCAUCCCCAGUGGGUUCCUCCCCCUCCCUGGUGUCCUGCAUUGGCAGCUCGCUCCAAUCGACCGCGGUGGGCAGCCAGAGGCCAGCCCGGGCACUGCACUGACAUCAGGGGCCAAGGUCCAGCCUGGAGAGCACAGAGCAGCAGCAGGACAGCCGGAGCCGGGCCCCCGCAGCACCAUGAGGCUGGGGCUGCUCUGCGGCCUCGCUGCCGCCGCAGUCCUCAUGGCAGUGGCUGGAGCUGACCGUGGAGACACGAAAAUCACACAGGGGAGAGAGGGGACGAGCGGCGUUGGCCGGCGCCGGCCCCACAGACCCUGCUCCGGGUGUUUCUCCGUCCUGAGCGAGGAGUCGCGGUCGAUGUCCUGGCGUGCCAGCGAGGACAAUGAGGUUCAGCCGCGCAGGCGGGAGAGGGACAGGAGGGAGGACAAGAAACCAGCACGGCACAUGAGACACCCCAGCACCGUCCAGCUCCCGCGACAGGAGGUGCUGAGUGCCCGGACGGCGCGUCAAGGAGCGACGCUGGUGUCUCGGCACAGCUCCACGCCAGGAGAGAACCGGAGGCCCGGCCAACGCCAGGCCAUGCACUGAGGCAGCUGGGGGACCCACCCCCACCCUCCACAGGCUGUAAGUGAGCCUGUGCCUGUGCAAACGCAGCCCCACUGCACACCCUGUGCACCCCAAAGUGCUUCUGGGGUCAGGCCCCCCACCCUGCUUUGCCAAGACGCUGAAUAAAGCCAGCAAGCCAGAGCACGUGGGUGCGUCUGUCUGUGUGUCCUG